GACGAACGCUGGAGGCGUGCUUAACACAUGCAAGUCGAACGAUGAAAUGGAGCUUGCUCCAUGGAUUAGUGGCGAACGGGUGAGUAACACGUGAAUAACCUGCCCUUAAUUUUGGAAUAACCCUGGGAAACCUGGGCUAAUACCGGAUAAGUAAACCUGUGGCAUCACAUGGUUUUGGAAAGUUUUUCGAUUAAGGAUGGAUUCGCGGCCUAUCAGCUUGUUGGUGAGGUAAUGGCUCACCAAGGCGACGACGGGUAGCCGGCCUGAGAGGGUGAACGGCCACACUGGGACUGAGACACGGCCCAGACUCCUACGGGAGGCAGCAGUGGGGAAUAUUGCGCAAUGGACGAAAGUCUGACGCAGCGACGCCUCGUGAGGGACGAAGGUCUUCGGAUUGUAAACCUCUUUCAGCAGGGACGAAGCGAAAGUGACGGUACCUGCAGAAGAAGCACCGGCUAACUAUGUGCCAGCCGCCGCCGUAA
Molecule: ribosomal RNA, 482 nt
Filed under: uncultured bacterium
Lineage: Bacteria
Description: partial 16S ribosomal RNA
Rfam family: Bacterial small subunit ribosomal RNA
Source: RNAcentral